GACGAACGCUGGCGGCACGCUUAACACAUGCAAGUCGAACGAGAGAAGAGAAGCUUGCUUUUCUGAUCUAGUGGCGGACGGGUGAGUAACACGCGAGCAAUCUGCCUUUCAGAGGGGGAUACCGAUUGGAAACGAUCGUUAAUACCGCAUAACAUAAUUGAACCGCAUGAUUUGAUUAUCAAAGAUUUAUCGCUGAAAGAUGAGCUCGCGUCUGAUUAGCUAGUUGGUAAGGUAACGGCUUACCAAGGCGACGAUCAGUAGCCGGACUGAGAGGUUGAUCGGCCACAUUGGGACUGAGACACGGCCCAGACUCCUACGGGAGGCAGCAGUGGGGAAUAUUGCACAAUGGAGGAAACUCUGAUGCAGCGAGGCCGCGUGAGGGAAGAAGGUUUUAGGAUUGUAAACCUCUGUCUUCAGGGACGAAAAAAGACGGUACCUGAGGAGGAAGCUCCGGCUAACUACGUG
RNAcentral lists this ribosomal RNA (465 nucleotides) under uncultured bacterium. RNAcentral describes it as "partial 16S ribosomal RNA". It matches the Rfam family "Bacterial small subunit ribosomal RNA", at positions 28 to 507 of the family's 1533-position model. The record is from RNAcentral.